Oncorhynchus keta (chum salmon) is the source of this 1130-nucleotide long non-coding RNA. RefSeq lists it as uncharacterized. The transcript has 3 exons. NCBI's taxonomy places the organism in Eukaryota, Metazoa, Chordata, Actinopteri, Salmoniformes, Salmonidae. The record is from RefSeq and is a predicted model, not a curated record.
AACCCUCCUGUUCGGGUUGGACAUGUCUGUAAGGCUAUUAAUACUAAGGCAUGUUCCAGAAACUGUCACUGACAAUUUGACAGACAAUGCAGAAUCAUAAAGUAGGUCGGUCUGGUAUACUUAAGCAAUAAGGCACGAGGGGGUGUGCCCGGAUACAGCCCUUAGCUGUGGUAUACUGGCUAUAUAUUGGUGUUAUAAAACGGGUUACCAACGUAAUUAUAACAUUUGUUUUAAUGUUUGUCAUACCAGUGGUAUACGACACAUUUUAGCCAAUCAGCAUUCAGGGCUCGAACCACCUAGUUUAUAUAAAAGUCUAUAAUAUACUAUAUUGCUGAAAAGUAGAUUUGUUGACACGAGUAACAAGAUAUUGGCAUCAUACGACAGCUACGGUGUCUUUGCGACUCUUCCAAUAGUGUGUAGCUAGCACACAUUGAAAUAGCAAUUUACCUAUUACCUGCCAAAUCUCCCUGCAUUCAGUGGCAGCCGACAAGAGCACACCUUUCCUAAGGACGCUGCCAUCUUAUUCAACUGUGGACGCCCAUCCCUACAGGAAGAGCAUCUUCGGACAUGCGUUGCAAUGCUUCAACAGUGAAGUCCUGGUCCUUGUGUAAUGUGAUAUUGUACCCCCUAGCCCAAUUGUCAUUUGUGUGUGUGUGUGUGUGUGUGUAUAUAUAUAUAUAUAUCUUCAACUACUUUUCAGCCGCAGAUACUGUAUCGUUACAAUGUCCAGUUUCUUUGACUUUUUGUUCAGUACAAUUUAUCAUAUGUGCAAUAAACACCAUUUUAAAAAAUCCACCUUCACCAUCAGCUCCCCUCAACUGUUGAACAACACUGAAUCUACGGUCUAGACAGAUGGGUAUACAGAGAAGAUUUACUUGGGUCCUAACUGUUGAACACUGAAUCUACGGUCUACGGCGCAUCCACCACCAUAUUUUCAGCUCCCUUCGCUCCUUCAACUAUUUCACGUGCAUCAGUGUAGGAGCCCUGCUGUGUUGCCCUGGCCACUUUACACGCGUUUACCCCAAACGGGCACUCCGGGGAAUUGGGCAUGUGUUUUCCGUCACAAUUACACCAUCGAACACCCUCAGAUUCUUCAACAUUCCUCCGGCACACACUUGAUACAUGUCCAU